This is a non-coding RNA of Phrynosoma platyrhinos (Desert horned lizard), 72 nucleotides long. Lineage: Eukaryota; Metazoa; Chordata; Lepidosauria; Squamata; Phrynosomatidae. The record is from the annotation of a GenBank genome assembly.
GCCAGUGUGGUGUAGUGGGUUGAGUGUUGAACUUUGACUCCAGAGACCAGGGUUCCAGUCCCCGCUCAGCCA